GUCCUACAUAUUAAUAGGCAGCAUUUUAUUUUUCAGGUGUCAACCACAGAUACUCUCUAAGCCUAAUGUACAGGACAUCAGAUGAGUUGCUUUGUGGAGAGUUUUUUGGGGAAUGUGAAAAGCCCUACCAUAUGGAGAGGAGCUAACAGAUGUGUCUUGGUAGUGCAAGGGAUCUCCACUGCACAUAAAGGUGUCAGGAGUCCAUCAGGAAUAUCAUAUGCUCGUGUUCAAGGUGAAGAAAAAUGAAGAGAAAGACUUGAUGAAGGGAUACAGCUAUUUUGGGCAGAUGGAAUCAAAUCCAUACCAACACUGAGAUUUAGUUUUAUAGAUGGCGUACUUGGUAUAUUCUUUGUCAGAGCUGGUAAUCACAGAAAUCCUCCUCAACAGAAAGGAUUGAAGAGACCCUGGGCAUGUUGAUCCAGAUUUUUAAAUCCUAUUCAAAUUGUUUGGUUGCCAAGUUCACUUACUCUUGGUAAAACACUACUCCCUGUAUCUGUGGAGAGCCUGG
This 508-nucleotide long non-coding RNA is filed under the name Phascolarctos cinereus (koala). RNAcentral describes it as "lncRNA (ENSPCIG00000028880.2)". Lineage: Eukaryota; Metazoa; Chordata; Mammalia; Diprotodontia; Phascolarctidae. The record is from RNAcentral.